Molecule: ribosomal RNA, 226 nt
Filed under: uncultured Actinomycetales bacterium
Lineage: Bacteria; Bacillati; Actinomycetota; Actinomycetes; Actinomycetales
Description: partial 16S ribosomal RNA
Rfam family: Bacterial small subunit ribosomal RNA
Source: RNAcentral
UGAGUAACACGUGAGUAACCUGCCCUUGACUUUGGGAUAACUUCAAGAAACUGGGGCUAAUACCGGAUAGGAGCUCCUGCUGCAUGGUGGGGGUUGGAAAGUUUCGGCGGUUGGGGAUGGACUCGCGGCUUAUCAGCUUGUUGGUGGGGUAGUGGCUUACCAAGGCUUUGACGGGUAGCCGGCCUGAGAGGGUGACCGGCCACAUUGGGACUGAGAUACGGCCCAG